This is a long non-coding RNA of Eupeodes corollae, 1684 nucleotides long. RefSeq lists it as uncharacterized. Lineage: Eukaryota; Metazoa; Arthropoda; Insecta; Diptera; Syrphidae. The transcript has 5 exons. The record is from RefSeq and is a predicted model, not a curated record.
UUAAUGGGUUUGCUCUCUUUCGGCCUACAAGCUAAAUUGGGAGGAUUUUGUCCAUAAGGAUAAGCAUGUGUUAGUUGUCCCGUGCAUUUCUUAUGGGACCAAGCCAUUUUGAAUGUAGUUGUUAUGGAAUUUGUGCCCAUAUAGCUUAACCGCGGGGGAAAAAACUAUGAGGUGAACUCAGCAGUUCAAAAAAGAGAUCCGUUGAAUUCAAAAAUUGAAAAAUUAAUGCAAUAUUUUAAGAAAAAUUAAUUUUCCAACUUCUUUUUAGUGAAAACAGUGCUAAAAAUAAUAUUUAACUGCUUUUGGUAAACAAAUUCUAUCAUUUUUAUGAAAAGUUUAGCUAAAAACAGAAUAAAUCAUGCCGAAAGUAUAGGCGCACCCUAGAACUGCAAUGCGAACGUGGCGCAAUUUGAGUUGUACCCAGUUUUGACAGAUCAAAAGCGAGGUAAGUAUUUUGACAGCGAAAAUUAAAAAGAAAACAAAAUACAAUUUCUGCGAUUUAAAUUUUAAUUAAAUCAAAACAAAAGUGAAAAUUAAUAAAAACAAAGUUGUUAAUAGUAUUCCUGAUUAACUGUUUUAUCUAUAUUAUAUAAAUAAUUUCAUACAAAAUGAUCCAGAGUCAACUAUUUCAUCGAUCUAAAAAGUGACUUCAUCAUAUCCGAAGAAAUAUUUCCCUACGUAACUUGGCUCUAGCUGAUAGAGGAUUCUUUCAGGAUCUUUUUGCAGACACCGCUGGUCCAGAAAUGGCAAAACUUUUCACAGGUAAACAACAAAACAAUCUACGCCGGCUUUGAUCCAGCUGCCGAUAGUCACACGUUGGCAAUCUCCUGGUAAUAAUUGGACUUCUGCAUGGCAUCGAGAAAGACACAAUCCAAUUGCGUUUGUUGGAAUACGGGUCUUAUCAGUAAUCCUAGUGGCAAAACAAAACGAAAUAAAGGGUUGUCGGUCAUUGAGACAAAUUAGAGUCGUCAACAAUGCAUCAUAGUACGAAAAUCUGAAUGUAGGAUUACUGCUCUCAAUAUCGUCAGUCCAGUCGCGACUUAAUAGUGCAGCUGGAAUGAGCUUUACCGAAUUCACAUAACAAAUUUUCCAGGGUUAUGACUUGUUGCUUCAGAAAUACAAUUGUCGCUUUCAAAUGGGAGGCAGUGAACAAAUGGGUAAUUUAAUGACUGGCCACGAACUAUCAGCAGAGUAGAAAAAAAGAAAUCAGUAUUUGGAUUGACACUUCCAAUUGUGACCAACGAAGGAGAAGACAAGUUCAGAAAAUCUGCUGGCAAGUCUAUGGAGAGGUAUGUCUAAAACAAGACGAAAAAGUCAAAGAGGCGCUCUGUAAGGGAAAUGUUGAAGGACUAGGUUAACUGAAUUACAACGAAACCCGAUCGUUGAGAUUUUUUCAGAGCCUGGACUAUCCAUUCUUGAUCUGGCACUAAAAGCUAAAUGUUUUACAACAGAGACUGAUGCGAUCAGAAUCAUCACAACUGGAGGGUUCUAUAUCAAUCAAAAGUAAAUGUAGUUUAUGUGUUACGUUCCCACUUUCAUAUGUUUUGUAUUUUAUUUAUUUAUUACAUCAAUUAGAGUUAAGAGUAUACUCAAAUAGACUAAUGAAUAUGACAAGUUUUAUUUAAAAUAUUAUAUUAUAAACUAAGAAUGUAAAAUUAAAAAAAAUAAACUAAGCAUACAUAUA